GAAUGCUGACAUAAGUAACGAUAAAGCGGGUGAAAAGCCCGCUCGCCGGAAGACCAAGGGUUCCUGUCCAACGUUAAUCGGGGCAGGGUGAGUCGACCCCUAAGGCGAGGCCGAAAGGCGUAGUCGAUGGGAAACAGGUUAAUAUUCCUGUACUUGGUGUUACUGCGAAGGGGGGACGGAGAAGGCUAUGUUGGCCGGGCGACGGUUGUCCCGGUUUAAGCGUGUAGGCUGGUUUUCCAGGCAAAUCCGGAAAAUCAAGGCUGAGGCGUGAUGACGAGGCACUACGGUGCUGAAGCAACAAAUGCCCUGCUUCCAGGAAAAGCCUCUAAGCAUCAGGUAACAUCAAAUCGUACCCCAAACCGACACAGGUGGUCAGGUAGAGAAUACCAAGGCGCUUGAGAGAACUCGGGUGAAGGAACUAGGCAAAAUGGUGCCGUAACUUCGGGAGAAGGCACGCUGAUAUGUAGGUGAAGCGACUUGCUCGUGGAGCUGAAAUCAGUCGAAGAUACCAGCUGGCUGCAACUGUUUAUUAAAAACACAGCACUGUGCAAACACGAAAGUGGACGUAUACGGUGUGACGCCUGCCCGGUGCCGGAAGGUUAAUUGAUGGGGUUAGCGGUAACGCGAAGCUCUUGAUCGAAGCCCCGGUAAACGGCGGCCGUAACUAUAACGGUCCUAAGGUAGCGAAAUUCCUUGUCGGGUAAGUUCCGACCUGCACGAAUGGCGUAAUGAUGGCCAGGCUGUCUCCACCCGAGACUCAGUGAAAUUGAACUCGCUGUGAAGAUGCAGUGUACCCGCGGCAAGACGGAAAGACCCCGUGAACCUUUACUAUAGCUUGACACUGAACAUUGAGCCUUGAUGUGUAGGAUAGGUGGGAGGCUUUGAAGUGUGGACGCCAGUCUGCAUGGAGCCGACCUUGAAAUACCACCCUUUAAUGUUUGAUGUUCUAACGUUGGCCCGUUAUCCGGGUUGCGGACAGUGUCUGGUGGGUAGUUUGACUGGGGCGGUCUCCUCCUAAAGAGUAACGGAGGAGCACGAAGGUUGGCUAAUCCUGGUCGGACAUCAGGAGGUUAGUGCAAUGGCAUAAGCCAGCUUGACUGCGAGCGUGACGGCGCGAGCAGGUGCGAAAGCAGGUCAUAGUGAUCCGGUGGUUCUGAAUGGAAGGGCCAUCGCUCAACGGAUAAAAGGUACUCCGGGGAUAACAGGCUGAUACCGCCCAAGAGUUCAUAUCGACGGCGGUGUUUGGCACCUCGAUGUCGGCUCAUCACAUCCUGGGGCUGAAGUAGGUCCCAAGGGUAUGGCUGUUCGCCAUUUAAAGUGGUACGCGAGCUGGGUUUAGAACGUCGUGAGACAGUUCGGUCCCUAUCUGCCGUGGGCGCUGGAGAACUGAGGGGGGCUGCUCCUAGUACGAGAGGACCGGAGUGGACGCAUCACUGGUGUUCGGGUUGUCAUGCCAAUGGCACUGCCCGGUAGCUAAAUGCGGAAGAGAUAAGUGCUGAAAGCAUCUAAGCACGAAACUUGCCCCGAGAUGAGUUCUCCCUGACUCCCUGAGAGUCCUGAAGGAACGUUGAAGACGACGACGUUGAUAGGCCGGGUGUGUAAGCGCAGCGAUGCGUUGAGCUAACCGGUACUAAUGAACCGUGAGGCUUAACCUU
RNAcentral lists this ribosomal RNA (1655 nucleotides) under Escherichia coli. RNAcentral describes it as "partial 23S ribosomal RNA". It matches the Rfam family "Bacterial large subunit ribosomal RNA", at positions 1292 to 2925 of the family's 2925-position model. The record is from RNAcentral. Lineage: Bacteria; Pseudomonadati; Pseudomonadota; Gammaproteobacteria; Enterobacterales; Enterobacteriaceae.